RNAcentral lists this small RNA (91 nucleotides) under Sinorhizobium meliloti 2011. RNAcentral's name for it is "putative ncRNA". The record is from RNAcentral. Lineage: Bacteria; Pseudomonadati; Pseudomonadota; Alphaproteobacteria; Hyphomicrobiales; Rhizobiaceae.
AACGAUAAAACUUGAUAGUACCGGGCAUGACAGAAUGGACGGCAAGAGGAAACUGCUAUGCAGGGCUCCUCAGCCGGCUACGGUCUCACGC